This 446-nucleotide ribosomal RNA is filed under the name uncultured bacterium. Its description in RNAcentral is "bacterial SSU rRNA". It matches the Rfam family "Bacterial small subunit ribosomal RNA", at positions 329 to 792 of the family's 1533-position model. The record is from RNAcentral.
GCCCAGACUCCUACGGGAGGCAGCAGUGGGGAAUAUUGCACAAUGGGGGAAACCCUGAUGCAGCGACGCCGCGUGAGCGAUGAAGUAUUUCGGUAUGUAAAGCUCUAUCAGCAGGGAAGAAGAUGACGGUACCUGACUAAGAAGCCCCGGCUAACUACGUGCCAGCAGCCGCGGUAAUACGUAGGGGGCAAGCGUUAUCCGGAUUUACUGGGUGUAAAGGGAGCGUAGACGGCGAUGCAAGCCAGAUGUGAAAGCCCGGGGCUCAACCCCGGGACUGCAUUUGGAACUGUGUGGCUGGAGUGUCGGAGAGGCAGGCGGAAUUCCUAGUGUAGCGGUGAAAUGCGUAGAUAUCAGGAGGAACACCGGCGGCGAAGGCGGCCUGCUGGACCGUGACUGACGUUGAGGCUCGAGAGCGUGGGGAGCAAACAGGAUUAGAUACCCCAGUA